RNAcentral lists this ribosomal RNA (771 nucleotides) under uncultured bacterium. RNAcentral describes it as "bacterial SSU rRNA". It matches the Rfam family "Bacterial small subunit ribosomal RNA", at positions 56 to 824 of the family's 1533-position model. The record is from RNAcentral.
UGCAGUCGAGCGGACCCUUGGUGCGGAAGCCUUCGGGCGGAAGGGCCAGGGGUUAGCGGCGGACGGGUGAGUAACGCGUGGGCAACCUGCCCUCCAGAGGGGGAUAACUCGCCGAAAGGCGGGCUAAUACCGCAUGAGUUCCUUCCGGGGCAUCUCGGAGGGAGCAAAGGCCUUCGGGCCGCUGGAGGAGGGGCCUGCGUCCCAUUAGCUUGUUGGCGGGGUAACGGCCCACCAAGGCGACGAUGGGUAGCCGGCCUGAGAGGGUGGACGGCCACACUGGGACUGAGAUACGGCCCAGACUCCUACGGGAGGCAGCAGUAGGGAAUCUUGCGCAAUGGGCGAAAGCCUGACGCAGCGACGCCGCGUGGGGGAAGAAGGCCUUCGGGUCGUAAACCCCUGUCCCAGGGGACGAGAAGGGACGGUACCCUGGGAGGAAGCCCCGGCUAACUACGUGCCAGCAGCCGCGGUAAUACGUAGGGGGCGAGCGUUGUCCGGAAUGACUGGGCGUAAAGGGUGCGUAGGCGGCCCGAGAGGUCCUGGGUGAAAGGCCCCGGCUCAACCGGGGAGGGCCCCAGGAAACCGGCGGGCUAGAGGGCUGGAGAGGGCCGCGGAAUUCCCGGUGUAGCGGUGAAAUGCGUAGAUAUCGGGAAGAACACCAGUGGCGAAGGCGGCGGCCUGGACAGAACCUGACGCUGAGGCACGAAAGCUGGGGGAGCGAACAGGAUUAGAUACCCUGGUAGUCCCAGCUGUAAACGAUGAGUGCUAGGUGUG